AUGGGAACUACUGUUGACCCUUAUGUAAAUGAUGGUAAUGGUCCAAAUAUAUACAAAAUAAACGGGCAGGUUUGUCAUCGAAUGGGAUCUCUUAUGCCUAAGGAAGGAAAUACCCCUAAGUAUGCCAAACUCCAUAUAUAUGAUACCCAGAAUGAGGCACAAAACAGGAUUCAGGCUUUAGAAAAGGGUGAAAAGAGUGAUGGUGGUUUAGAUGAAUCUAUUGUUGAAGGCUUGAUGCAUAUGCUUGAUACACACAAUUCUUAUGUCAAAACGUUUAGAUCAGCUAGAGAAAUACUAGCAGCCAAUAGGCAUGCCGAGAUAGCCAUUCGUUUAGUUUCCCCUGGAAAAUCUGAUGGCCCACAGUUUAGCCUUCCUACAACUGAUGAGCUAGCAUCUUUAAUGUUUGGUGAGUUCACGGUGGAGGCUUCUUGUCGUGACAUAAUAAUACACGGUAGAGAUGACAAUCUGCAGCAAAUAUCUUCUUUGCAAACUUCAUAUAUGCCUUUGCAGUAUCCUCUUCUCUUCCCCUAUGUAGACGUGGGUUUUAGCUCGGGCUUAAAUAUAUUGGUUCAGACCCUUUAA
Molecule: ribosomal RNA, 582 nt
Filed under: Triticum aestivum (bread wheat)
Lineage: Eukaryota; Viridiplantae; Streptophyta; Magnoliopsida; Poales; Poaceae
Description: partial small subunit ribosomal RNA
Source: RNAcentral